UAAAGAGUUAGAUGCCGAGCUCGUCAGG
Molecule: small RNA, 28 nt
Filed under: Bombyx mori (domestic silkworm)
Lineage: Eukaryota; Metazoa; Arthropoda; Insecta; Lepidoptera; Bombycidae
Description: piRNA piR-bmo-1469186
Source: RNAcentral